GUGAUCAUUGUGAUGCUGGUUUAAGUCCAGACAAGUGUUUUCUGUAUAUUUAGAUAAUGUAGAAAACCUUAUCUGGAUUUGUACCAGCAUCAGAUUAU
This 98-nucleotide microRNA precursor is filed under the name Ornithorhynchus anatinus (platypus). RNAcentral's name for it is "microRNA oan-mir-1422k precursor". The stretch from base 10 to 93 matches the Rfam family "mir-1422 microRNA precursor family". Lineage: Eukaryota; Metazoa; Chordata; Mammalia; Monotremata; Ornithorhynchidae. The record is from miRBase by way of RNAcentral.